RNAcentral lists this transfer RNA (74 nucleotides) under Runella rosea. RNAcentral describes it as "Runella sp. HYN0085 tRNA-Ala". It matches the Rfam family "tRNA". From Rfam's summary of the family: Transfer RNA (tRNA) molecules are approximately 80 nucleotides in length. Their secondary structure includes four short double-helical elements and three loops (D, anti-codon, and T loops). Further hydrogen bonds mediate the characteristic L-shaped molecular structure. tRNAs have two regions of fundamental functional importance: the anti-codon, which is responsible for specific mRNA codon recognition, and the 3' end, to which the tRNAs corresponding amino acid is attached (by aminoacyl-tRNA synthetases). tRNAs cope with the degeneracy of the genetic code in two manners: having more than one tRNA (with a specific anti-codon) for a particular amino acid; and 'wobble' base-pairing, i.e. permitting non-standard base-pairing at the 3rd anti-codon position. The record is from RNAcentral. RNAcentral also lists the same sequence under 1 other name. Lineage: Bacteria; Pseudomonadati; Bacteroidota; Cytophagia; Cytophagales; Spirosomataceae.
GGGGGUAUAGCUCAGCUGGCUAGAGCACCUGCUUUGCAAGCAGGGGGUCAUCGGUUCGACUCCGUUUACCUCCA